This 232-nucleotide long non-coding RNA is filed under the name Mytilus galloprovincialis (Mediterranean mussel). Lineage: Eukaryota; Metazoa; Mollusca; Bivalvia; Mytilida; Mytilidae. The record is from RNAcentral.
AGACGAAACGCGCGUCUGGCGUAUAAAAUUAUAAUCCUGGUACUUUUGAUAACUAUUUACACCACUGGGUCGAUGCCACUGCUGGUGGACGUUUCGUCCCCGAGGGUAUCACCAGCCCAGUAGUCAGCACUUCGGUGUUGACAUGAAUAUCAAUUAUAUGGUCAUUUUAUAAAUUUUCUGUUUACAAAACUUUGAAUUUUUCGAAAAACUAAGGAUUUUCUUACCCCAGGAG